GAAUAAUAGUGGCAUAACCGUUGAAAAGCGGUGACGCAAAGCCGUGGGUCUAACGGAUUACCUAUGACUGCCUGGUUGCUCUU
This 83-nucleotide non-coding RNA is filed under the name Sporomusa malonica. RNAcentral describes it as "c-di-GMP sequence". It matches the Rfam family "c-di-GMP-I riboswitch aptamer". Rfam says of the family: GEMM was predicted in a large-scale screen for bacterial structured RNA regulatory elements. Genes associated with GEMM are involved in a diverse array of functions, including chemotaxis regulation, signal transduction, secretion and chitin. The record is from Rfam by way of RNAcentral. Lineage: Bacteria; Bacillati; Bacillota; Negativicutes; Selenomonadales; Sporomusaceae.